RNAcentral lists this transfer RNA (79 nucleotides) under Pseudomonas phage Zuri. RNAcentral describes it as "tRNA-Asp". It matches the Rfam family "tRNA". Rfam says of the family: Transfer RNA (tRNA) molecules are approximately 80 nucleotides in length. Their secondary structure includes four short double-helical elements and three loops (D, anti-codon, and T loops). The record is from RNAcentral. Lineage: Duplodnaviria; Heunggongvirae; Uroviricota; Caudoviricetes; Schitoviridae.
CGAUUCCAUAGUUCAGCUGGUCAGAAUGCCCGCCUGUCACGCGGGAGGUCACGGGUUCAAGUCCCGUUGGAAUCGCCAC